RNAcentral lists this long non-coding RNA (616 nucleotides) under Manihot esculenta (cassava). RNAcentral describes it as "long non-coding RNA (MESC_LNC006327)". The record is from RNAcentral. Lineage: Eukaryota; Viridiplantae; Streptophyta; Magnoliopsida; Malpighiales; Euphorbiaceae.
GAACCGAGGACCCCAGCAGUGAGUUCAGCUGCUUCGGUGUUGUCAGAGUCAGCCAGAGGUGAGUGGAACUAAACUUAAUCUUUUAAAUUAAAUGUUUUAUCAUGUUUCAUGCAUCAUGAUUAUACAAUAGGAUGAUUGCAUUAGUUUUCACGAAUAUGUCACAUUGCAUCGAUUGUUGUUGAUGUGGGUGAAUGUUGGAUGACCCAAUUAGUCCAUGACAGGAAGACCAGGACCCCAUUCUACGGCCUGGCACAGAGUAAGGAAAGACCAGGACCCCAUUCUACGGCCUGGCACAGAGUGGGACUCGAAGACCAGGAGCUCAGAGGAGGCCCUGGGAUAAUGGUAAGCAAUGUAUGUAUGACAGGAAGACCAGGACCCCAUGCUACGGCCUGGCACAGAGUUAGCUUGGACUAAUUGGUGACAAGUUCACCCAACCCUUAUGUGAAUUGUUUGUGUUAUGAUGCAUUUCAUAGAGCAUAGUGUUAAUGUGUUUUAAUAGCUCUACUCACUGGGCUUCUAGCUCACCCCUCUCCCUUUACCCCCAGGCUUGCAGGUACAGUAUAGUGCGAGAGUCCGGAUAGAGUAAAGAAGUCAUGCUUAUGUAAUAGCUAGCAAU